RNAcentral lists this ribosomal RNA (653 nucleotides) under uncultured bacterium. RNAcentral's name for it is "bacterial SSU rRNA". It matches the Rfam family "Bacterial small subunit ribosomal RNA", at positions 170 to 816 of the family's 1533-position model. The record is from RNAcentral.
CGCGUGGUACACUUGUGGGGCAUCCCACGGGUGUUAAAAGGAAGUGAUUCCGGCGGAGGAUGGGCAUGCGGCGCAUUAGCUGGUUGGCGGGGUAACGGCCCACCAAGGCGACGAUGCGUAGGGGUUCUGAGAGGAAGGUCCCCCACACUGGUACUGAGACACGGACCAGACUCCUACGGGAGGCAGCAGUGAGGAAUAUUGGUCAAUGGGCGGGAGCCUGAACCAGCCAAGUCGCGUGAGGGAAGACGGUCCUAUGGAUUGUAAACCUCUUUAGGCGGGGAGCAAUGCCGGGCACGCGUGCCCGGAGGGAGAGUACCCGCAGAAUAAGCAUCGGCUAACUCCGUGCCAGCAGCCGCGGUAAUACGGAGGAUGCGAGCGUUAUCCGGAUUUAUUGGGUUUAAAGGGUGCGUAGGCGGAUUUUUAAGUCAGCGGUAAAAUGUCCGGGCUCAACCCGGGCCGGCCGUUGAAACUGGGGAUCUUGAGUGGGCGAGAAGUAUGCGGAAUGCGUGGUGUAGCGGUGAAAUGCAUAGAUAUCACGCAGAACUCCGAUUGCGAAGGCAGCAUACCGGCGCCCGACUGACGCUGAGGCACGAAAGCGCGGGGAUCGAACAGGAUUAGAUACCCUGGUAGUCCACGCAGUAAACGAUGAAUGC